CAACAUAGAAAAGUACGACAGUGUGCAG
This 28-nucleotide small RNA is filed under the name Bombyx mori (domestic silkworm). RNAcentral's name for it is "ovarian small RNA-12770". The record is from RNAcentral. Lineage: Eukaryota; Metazoa; Arthropoda; Insecta; Lepidoptera; Bombycidae.